RNAcentral lists this ribosomal RNA (253 nucleotides) under uncultured bacterium. Its description in RNAcentral is "partial 16S ribosomal RNA". It matches the Rfam family "Archaeal small subunit ribosomal RNA", at positions 474 to 727 of the family's 1478-position model. The record is from RNAcentral.
UACCAGCACCCCGAGCGGUCGGGACGUUUAUUGGGCCUAAAGCCUCCGUAGCCGGUUCUACAAGUCUUCCGUUAAAUCCACCUGCUUAACAGAUGGGCUGCGGAAGAUACUAUAGAGCUAGGAGGCGGGAGAGGCAAGCGGUACUCGAUGGGUAGGGGUAAAAUCCGUUGAUCCAUUGAAGACCACCAGUGGCGAAGGCGGCUUGCCAGAACGCGCUCGACGGUGAGGGAUGAAAGCUGGGGGAGCAAACCGG